This 641-nucleotide long non-coding RNA is filed under the name Gopherus agassizii (Agassiz's desert tortoise). Its description in RNAcentral is "lncRNA (ENSGAGG00000020019.1)". Lineage: Eukaryota; Metazoa; Chordata; Testudines; Testudinidae. The record is from RNAcentral.
CAGAGGUUUGGGUGCAAACGGUUAUCCCUUCAGGCUCUCAAGUAACUGAAGAUUCACUGAGGAGUGAUGUGGAACCUAAAUCACAGGCAACCAUUACCUCAUCUGUUCCUCUACCAGGCAGCGUUACUGCCUACUUGGAUGAAAUGCAAGUCCAUCCUUCAUGUGCUAUUAAAAGUAUUAUGAUUGAUGAAGAAACUGGACAGGUUGAAAUUGGGCAAGGAGAAUCUUGGCUGAACAAAUUUAGAAUCAACAGGAACAAGUUGGCAUUUUUGAAGUGCCUGAUUGGGUGGAAAGGAAACAAAACAGCAGUGGAAAAAGUAGAUCCUCCAAAUGCUCCUGGAAUUUGCUCUCAUGACAACCACAGACUGCAUGAGCUGGAUGGAUGCAUGGCAAAAGAAGAACAACCAUAUAUUCCAUACAAGUUAGCUAAAUUAUAUAUUACCAAGGUAAAAAAAAAAUCAAAAAGCAUUCAAAUAUUAGUUGCUUUGAAUGAAUAAUUCACAAUAUAAGAAAUUAUUAAAUGAAUUUAGUAUGUCUAUACUCAUAGGCUAUCACAGGAAAAUUACAGUUUCCUUAAUAUUUUAAUUUUAUUCAGCUAAUUUUAUUAUGACUUUUUAAAAACUUUUUCCUCCAGAGUUUGG